CCCUGGUCUGCCGCAGGAGACCCUGCCGAUGCCACUCAGGGUCAAGACUCUGGCGCGGUGGAAACUGCAGAGCAAAAGGAAACACAGACAAAAACAGUGAGAAGGAGAGAGAGCAUGUGGGGCUUUGCCAGAGAGGAACUUGGAUGGCAAUCACCUAAGAACUCCAAACUCAGUGCCAGGGCAGACUGGUGUCUAUUUUGGGAUGGCUCAAGUACUCAAAAGGCAGCACUAAAAUAAGGCUAUGUCUCUUCCUGAGAAUACUCUGGACUUCAUUCUCUGAUUAAAGAUCACAACUGCUUCUUCGUUGAGGAAAUCAUGUAUUUCAAAGCCACCAAUGAACAAGAAUGACAAUCCAUGAAUUACACAGUAAACAAAUACUAUAUGUAUGAGACCGAUUCACUGUCACAAACCUGGAGAAGAAAACCCUUUUGAGGUUUAAAGCUGAGAGGGAGAUAAAAACUUGGUUGUACUACUUCUGGGAAAUGCUGAAGUUAUCCACGUGAUUUUCCAGUCACUGAUUAUUUUAGCAAAGUAACACAAACAGAGGAGGAGCUCUGGACUCUAGCUUCUCAUUUCUAAAAGAACAGAUGUAAUGGGAUGUAUUGGUCCAGCACUGAUAACAGGUUAUCCUACAAUCAAGUAUACUCUUUCCAGAAAGCUGAGUUAGGUAUGCAACUGCCUUUCUAAGCCAUGACUACAUUGCUAAAUGAAUCAUUGAUUUGGAAAAUCUGAAGUGACCUUCAGCUUGUUCUCCAGCUCUUCCUCAACAGAAAAGAGAGGCAAAAUCAGCAAAAUAUUGGAAAGAGGUAGUUUUUCUAAAGGUAUUUGUGGCAGGUAGAAGAUUGGAGGCCACUCAGCUAUGUGUGUAAGUGUGUGCAGGGAGAAAUUAGGUUCUAUAUUCAGAAGUGACAUUCUUUGUAUUUUCAGUGUGGCUCUAAAAACAGAGCCUUUUUCUUAUAGUUCAGAGUCAGACACUGCCCUUGGCUUCUCAGCCAUUCUAGUAAACUAUUUGUUACUCAGAAAGCCUCAAAUUCUUCAUUGAAUUUAUUUGGACCAGUUUUUGUGCACUUACCUCGUUGGCAUGGUAAUAGUCUUUUGAAUAACCAAUACUGUGAACAAUUAUACAAUUAAAAAUUCUACUUCCAUUAUUAUUCUUAACUUCUCCCUUUAUAUUUUGUUACAGUUAUGAGGUAUGUUUUAUUAACUAUUCUAGACAUAGAUCUAGCCCUGCAUUUACUCAGCACUGCCUUGCUCCUUUUCAUGAGGGGUGAUCUAGUUAGACAUAUCAAUAUUCAAUGAAAUGUAUAGAUUACCCUGAUAAAAUGGCUCAAUGAAGUUCAUGUAAGGUCAAUGGAAGAUUGAGGCAUCAUAUGCACUGAGCCACUAAUUGGUCUCAUACUAGUAGGAUAUAGCUAUCCCCACCCCCUAUAUCUUGAGUCUCCUUCCUCUUAGGUGCUGAGCAUUUCCAAAGGCUUCUCUAGCUGAAGCAGGUAUAAGAAAAUGAAGUGACAUAAAGCAUCAACCCUUAGGUAUAAAUGAUUGGCAAGUCUCAACCUUGCUAAAACUGAGACUUUUCAAUUAGCUAUGCUUAAAAGUUUCUACUGAAUUACUGAAGCCAUAAUUAUGUAUGUAAUUCAAGUUUCCUUUGAGCUGACCUACAAUGAAAGAAGUUACCUAAAUGACCUCUUAGGUCCUUUUCUCUCUCCAGCAAUCAUGGAUACUUUACGAAUCUCAUAAGGAGUACAGCUCAUUUAUUAUUAACACCAUUUUAGAAUGAAGGAAGAAGAGGCUUAGAAAGGUUUAGUAGCAGAGAAGAGAGCAGCCUUCUGAUUUGUGGGUUCCACAUUCUGGAUGCAGAAAACUUUCAGUCAUUCUUAUCUAUUGUGAGGCUUGUACCAGUUUCUCCAUAAACUUACAAAACCAAACCAUUUUGACAAGCUUUGUUCCUGCCUCUGACUUCUUUCAGAUAGUGGCUAACCAUCUUCUCUUGAUGAGUCAUUUUUGCUCUUCCUCAUUCCCUUCUUGAUGUUCAAGUAGGUGAACGUGAUGACUAUAAAAGGCAAGCAAUUAAUAUCUGGGGUUAGGCAGAGCUCUGUAAGCCAAUCUCCAAGAAUGUGCAAGCUCCUUUGUCCUUAACUGUAACCUUGGCACAUGAAAAGCAACUUCCAUUCCGUUUUACCAACAUUUCGGUCAAAGAUCAAUUGCCAUUGUAAUUAUAUCAUAUAUCACAGGAUGGGGAAUCAGUGAGAGGGCAGGCCCUUUAAACUAAUACAUAUCAUUAGCAUUUAAAGAACAUGAAAAACAAAUUGAACAUUAGUCCUCAUGUAAGUCUUUUUUCUAGAGCAAAUAAUUUUCCAAAUUAAAAUGAAUAAAUUAAUGAAAUUGUCACAUGUCUGAGAAUAAACUAGGUUGGUAAUGCCGUCAAGCUCUUAGCAAAGUUUAGCUCAUUGUACUUCUCUGUCUGAUCAUUAUAACAUCUAAUCAAGGGGAGCUUAAAUACUUCAAUGAGCUCUCAAAAUAAAUUUGAUCUGAGCAGCUCAGGUCUCAUGGAUUCCUAGGGUUACUGACUGGGUGAAACAUGUUUUUGUUUUAAUCCCUGUCUCAGCUCAAAGAGGAUUAAUGCCCGUAAUUCUGCUAUCCCCAUUUAAUUGAGAAAUGAAAUUUGAAGAGGCACCUCCUGGAACACUCCACUUUGAAAUAUGACCCAUCCACUGUCUAUAUAAUAAAUCUUCCUCUGCUCUCACACACUUAUCCACAUCCUUCCUAUCCCAAAGAAGGAGGAAAGAAAGUUAUUGUGUGUGUGUGUGUGUGUGUGUGUGUGUGUGUGUUUCUGUGCAUCUAAUCCAAAACACACAAUGUUGUUGUUUUAUUUUUCAAUUUUGGAAUUAUCCUAAUAAAGGCAUUCUCUGGGAAGCUCAGACUGCAUCUCAAACCUUUCUCUGACACUAGCAUCCUCAUUGGAACAAAUAGCCCUUUCACUAAAAGCAAUACAGUUAUUGCAUUCAUGUUAUAUGAUGGUAAUUUUCACUUUUGCUUUCAAUACAACAUUAAAAGAAAAAUUGUCUAUAGGAAAGAAAGAGGCAAUAUACUAUAUCCUGGAACUAAUUCUUUGGCAUCUGUAAAAAAGGGGGCCAUAAUUCUGAAUAGAGGCUCCUGUCCUAAAACAGACCCAAUGCUAAGAUCUAAUAGAAAGGGCACAGAGAAGCAUAAGGAAACUUAAUGUCACUUUCACGUUUUUUGUACAAGUUGAUGUGAGGAUCUAAAGAGGCAAUUUCUGUAAAAUGCCUAGUAGAGGACCAGGCAUAUAGUAAGCCCUCAGCAAAUGCUGGCUGUUAUCAUUAUGUUUUAUAAAGAAUUUUUACAUCUUCCUCCUAAGCCCUGAGGCUUCAUAACGAAGCCUUAUAUAUGACUCUCAAUGGCUCAAUGUCUUUCCUAACCUAAUGUAGAAAGUGACAUACCAUUGCUUCCAACAUAACCUAUUGGUCACAUGGACCAACAUAAGACCAAUGUGGGAUGACCCUGUACAUAAGGGUAAGAAGCAGGCAUCACUUGGGGCCAUCUCAAAGGAAGGUGACCACAACUGCCUAAUGGCAGUUGAAUCCUUUAUCAAGCUACCCUCAGUAACACUUCAGCUUUCAAGGACCAGGUUUUUGUGACUAUUGUGAACAGGAUUUUAGUGAAUGAAGAUAUAUCCCAAAAUAACAUUUCACUUAAAAGUUGAAUAUCUGUUAUCAAUUUACAAAUGCUUUUAUGUUAUAUCUCACUUGAGCUUCAAAAUAACCUUUUAAGACAGACAAGAGUAGAAACUACUCCAGUGAUUUCAUAGAUAAGGAAACUGAAGAUCAGAGAGACUUAAUGAUUAACCUAAGAUUUAAACUAGAUAUCCUCCUAGCAUUCUCAUGGCACUUAUUCUGCUAGCGUAGGCUGCCUUGUAUAUUUUUUAAAUGACUAUCUGUUUAUGUGCUGGUCAUGGGGUUUGCAGCAAAUCACAAGUGUGUAAUUUUUUUUUCUUAAAGGCAUUUAAUCUACUUUCUAAAAAUCACUAGAAUUCAGAAACUGAUACUACUUCUUUUGUUUCAUUAUUUGCCUCCCUGCCCCCAACACUCAUACAUAUUUAGAGACACCCAUGGACACUCAUGAACACACAUAUUCUUCUUUCUAGUCCCUUAUCAAUGGCAAACUAAAGUUAUUUUAGAAUAUACUAGCUGUCAUUGUGCCACAGAGAAACCUCUCUUUCAUGCAAAUUGAUAUAUGUAUAUAAUCAUACAUGUUUAUAUAUAAACUUUGUAGCUUUCCUCCCUCUUUUCUAAAAUAAAUUAUGAAAGGUUGUAUGUUCAGGCUUCACGCAGAAUUUUUCAUUUGAGGGAGACUUUUUCAACCCUUUCUAUUUGAGUUGGUAGCCAUUUAUAUGAAGAGAAAAUGAAUACUAAUGGAAAAUCCUAGAGUGGAUUUGGAAAAUCAUUAUAACAGUUCUGCUAUAGGUUUGGGCCUUUGACAAACCACCUAUUCAAGGAUGAAAAAUCCACUAUUUCUCUUCUGCAUUUCUUUUUCCGAAUACAGCUAGAUUGAAUAACAGGCCAGAUAAAGGAUUCAGAACAAUUGCUUUACUAAGUAAUAGUGAGCCCAUGUUCUAACCAAUGGGACAGAAACUGACCCUCUGUAUCUCUGACACAGUUGCCUUUCAUUGACAGAUUUACAGUGGAGGGGUUGGGAGAGCAGAUGAAUUAAAAAAAAACAAAAGCAAAUCAAGAUCCCCCAUAAAUUUCACGAUCCCCACAUCUUCCACCUCAGCACCUAUUAGAACACCUUACUCUUAAAUUCUGCACAUGUGGAGAUUUAUUUGUAUCCCAGAGGUUUGCUCAGAUGUUUCCUCUGUGCUUUCAAUGCAGGCCCACCCUUUUCUUUCUUCAUAUUAAAACCAUAUAGAUUCUCCUUGAAGCCUUCUCAACUGGUAAUAAUCAUUUACAUCCUUGCUAGUGCUUAUGAUUUUCGAAUUACUUUUAGAUAAUCUAACUCAGCGAUCUCCACACAACCUUAGACACUUAGCCCGGCAAGUAUUGUGCUUUUGCUUUCAUGGAUGAGAAAAAGGAGACUUGGAGUGCUUUGAUUAGCAAACAAGGUUACAGAGCUAAAAAAGGAGUGACACUGGAGUAGAUCCCAGCUUAAAUGAAACCCACUGCUUUACCUGCCCCUAUAGCCUGCAUGAUAUUUCCCUAUUCUGAGUGCUUGGAGCUCUUGGAGUCUCUUACAUCUAAUGUGAUCAUUAAGAGGUACUAACUGUCUGAUUGCUUCUUGUGUGCAGCUAACUCACUGGUGACCCAGCACUUUGGGAGGAUGAGGAGGGUGGAUCACAAGGUCAGGAGUUCGAGACCAGCCUGGCCAACAUGAUGAAACCCCGUCUCUACUAAAAAUACAAAAAUUAGCCAGGCGUGGUGGCAUGCACCUGUAUUCCCAGCUACUUGGGACACUGAGGCAGGAGACUUGCUUGAACCCGGGAGGCAGAGGUUGCAGUGAGCCAAGAUCGUGCCACUGCACUCCAGCCUGGGCGACAGAGUGAGACUCCAUCUCAAAAAUAAGUAAAUGAAUAAAUAAAAAUAAAAUAGAUUGAGCCUCCACAUUUUGCAUGCAGCUUUCUUGGUGCUUGUCCUUCUCCUGUGCUUACUCAAAGAUGGGACAUUGUGCACAAUGAGAAGAGUAUUGGGACCAGUAAGGAAGAAUGAGUCAGAUAUUGUGGGACCUCUUUUUUUGUUGUUUUUUUUUGCUCCCAGAAAUCUUUGAGAUUUUAACCUGAAUGGAAAAGACAAUAUGAGGGUGAUGAAAGACUCUAGAUGGUCCGUCUUGGUCUUUGAAAGAUGCUGGAAUAUAUGCCUGCUUGGCCAAUUAGUCCCCAAUAACUCUUCAGUGCCAUAGUACUGUGUGUAGAGAAAACCUCAAUGAAAAGAAAAUGGACAAUCAAGCUGGAUAAAAUACAUCCCUUAAAUGAGAACUACGCUAUGUGAAAAAAAAAUAGAAGAACAAGUCCUCAGCAAGUCAAUGAUCAUAAGAAAAACAGUUAUAUUGACUAGUUAUUUUGUGUGUUUGAUGUACAAUAUGGAGAAAUAUUAGUAGCCAAAUGAAUGUGACACAUUGACACAGAUGCAUUGUAAAUAUUAUGCUAUUGAGACCAUAGAUUCAGUUACAUUCCUCUGAUGAAUGUGGAUGCUUUCAUUUCCUGUUUUAGAAGGCAACUAACCUGAUUAAUAUCAAACUGCAAGCUCUGCCUUGUUUGCAGUAGGUGACUGCUCAAAUUGUAGUUAUUUUAGCCUCAGCUCUGAGAUAAUUUGUUUCUGUCCUGUUUUUCCCCCAACAAGUAUGGUUCAAGGUUCACAUACAGACUUGGCCAGAGUUCAUAUGCAGACUUUUAACUGCCUUCUUCCCAGGAUUUCCUCUCCAUUUUUGGGGUGGGUGGGCAGUGGGGUGCUGUGGUUGCACUGGGUCCUGUCAUCUGGUUCUUACCAACACAAAAUAUGAAGGUUUUUAAAGGAGUUUCAGUUAUUCUAAUUAUCCUGUACCUUAAGUUGUCUUUCUAAUACCUAGUGCUGGUUUCUUCUAAAUGUCAAAUCUCUUACAAAAACUGUUCUGUCUCAGGAAUUGUGUGUGUGUGAUUGUGCAUAUUCAGACUUUAUAGUUGUUACCUGCAUGACUGUCAGUCUAGUAGGAAUUCAUUCCAGCCUACUAGAAGAAAAAGUUUAUAUAUCAAUUUUGCAGAAAAAUAAUCCAAAUUGUAUAGGAUAUUACUCAAAAAGAAAACUUCGGAAAAGUUGUUUAAAUUUAUAAUCUUUUAGUUUUAAGCAAAUAUUUGUUAAACAUGCUUACUUCUCAGUUAGUGGAACAGAAGAAAAAAAAUGUAAUGUCAUCCCUGAACUCAGACACACAACACUUAAGAAAUUACAUUCAAAACAUAGGUGCUUUAACUUGAUAAGUACUUUAAAUGCAAUGCUAUAUCCAUUGUUUUCAAUGAACAUAGCAACAUUUUACAUGCACAAUAUAAUAAUGUGGUAAUUGCCAGAAAUAGUCCCUUUUUGCAAAUAUUUAAUGUAAUUCUACAGGAAAAAAUUUUAAGGCAGUAAAAUAAAAUGUAUUUCACGAUCUGCAAUGAUGUGUACCUUACUUUAGCCUUUUACUGCAACUAACUUCAGCAAAUAAAAUUUGGUGAAUAAUCUGUAUUUUCUUCUUUUCUUUCUUUUUUUUUUCUUGUAAGCCUCUCUCCCUUCCUGUCUCCAUUCUUUCCUACAAGGAAUAUUGGGUAUUUAUUAUGUGCACGGCACAUUCUAAAGCAGUGAAGAUGAGACAGUAAAUAUUCCAGGGACAGUAUCA
This 7356-nucleotide long non-coding RNA is filed under the name Homo sapiens (human). RNAcentral describes it as "long intergenic non-protein coding RNA 1902". Lineage: Eukaryota; Metazoa; Chordata; Mammalia; Primates; Hominidae. The record is from RNAcentral.